CCAGAUUUGGUGGGGCAUGCGCCUGCAAUCUCUUCAGAUUCAGCAUUAGUGGCUGAUGAUGUUUUGGUUCCUGUGCGGGCGAGACCAAUUGAUGCGCCAGCUCCUUUCGUUGCUUCGGUUGAUGAGCAGGCGGCGCCUGUGUCUCCCCCGCAUCCAACACUGGUGGAUCCUGUUAUUACGUCAUUUAUUUCUGAUGAUCCGGCUGCUGUGUCUGAAGAUUUGCCUGCUUCGGGUUGGGUGGAUUCUUCCCUCGCGGUGUCCCAGUUUUCACCAGCUCCCCCUCAACCGCGGUACUGCAUGCCUCUGAAGGUUUAUUUUAGAAGGGGUCGGAGGACGCAACAACAUCGGUUGGAUACCUUGACUGGUCCUCGGUCUGUCCCUUGCUGCAUCUCGGACAUUGGUCUGGCUGUUGAACCUUCGCAGACACCUGAACUGG
Molecule: unclassified non-coding RNA, 436 nt
Filed under: Zea mays
Lineage: Eukaryota; Viridiplantae; Streptophyta; Magnoliopsida; Poales; Poaceae
Description: misc RNA Zm00001eb083910
Source: RNAcentral